Molecule: unclassified non-coding RNA, 253 nt
Filed under: uncultured Flavobacteriaceae bacterium
Lineage: Bacteria; Pseudomonadati; Bacteroidota; Flavobacteriia; Flavobacteriales; Flavobacteriaceae
Description: contains 16S-23S intergenic spacer region
Rfam family: Bacterial small subunit ribosomal RNA
Source: RNAcentral
UACGGAGUAUCCAAGCGUUAUCCGGAAUCACUGGUCUUAAAGGGUCCGUAGGCGGGAUACUAAGUCAGUGGUGAAAGUCUGCAGCUCAACUGUAGAAUUGCCAUUGAUACUGUUGUCCUUGAGUUAUUGUGAAGUGGUUAGAAUAUGUAGUGUAGCGGUGAAAUGCAUAGAUAUUACAUAGAAUACCGAUUGCGAAGGCAGAUCACUAAUAAUUCACUGACGCUGAGGGACGAAAGCGUAGGUAGCGAACAGG